This 1321-nucleotide ribosomal RNA is filed under the name metagenome. RNAcentral describes it as "bacterial SSU rRNA". It matches the Rfam family "Bacterial small subunit ribosomal RNA", at positions 136 to 1449 of the family's 1533-position model. The record is from RNAcentral.
GUGGGGGAUACCCUCCCGAAAGGGAGGCUAAUACCGCAUAGGUUGUGGUUUUUUGAGAUCACAACAAAGCCCGCAAGGGCGCGUGAAGAGGGGCCUGCGGCCUAUCAGCUUGAUGGUGAGGUAAUGGCUCACCAUGGCAUUGACGGGUAGCCGGUCUGAGAGGACGAACGGCCACAGUGGGACUGAAAUAUGGUCCACAGCCCUGCGGGGUUUAGCAUGGAGGAAUCUUGCGCAACGAUGGAGGCAUCGGCGCAGCAACGCCGCGUGGGGGAUGAAGGCUCUUGGGUCGUAAACCCCUGUUGCUCGGGAAGAAGUACCUACGGGGAGAGCCUGUAGGGAAGACGGUACCGGGCGAGGAAGCACCGGCUAACUACGUGCCAGCAGCCGCGGUAAUACGUAGGGUGCAAGCGUUAUCCGGAUUUAUUGGGCGUAAGGGCGCGCAGGCGGCCACCAGCAGUGGCCCGUGGAAUCUCUCCGCUUAACGGGGAGAGGCCGGGCCAAACGGGGUGGCUUGGGGCAGGCAGAGGCAUGCGGAACGGGCGGAGUAGGGGUGAAAUCCGUAGAGACCGUCCGGAACACCAGUGGCGAAGGCGGCAUGCUGGGCCUGAAGCCGUAAGGCUGAACCCGACGCUCAGGCGCGAAAGCGUGGGGAGCGAACGGAAUUAGAUACUCCGGUAGUCCACGCCCUAAACGAUGGCAACUCGGUGUCGGGGGUAUCGACCCCUCCGGCGCCUAAGUCAACACGGUAAGUUGCCCGCCUGGGGACUACGGCCGCAAGGCUAAAACUCAAAGGAAUUGAUGGGGGCCCGCACAAGCAGCGGAGCGUGUGGUUUAAUUCGAUGCAACGCGAAGAACCUUACCUGGGUUUGACAUGCACGUGGUACCGAGCCGAGAGGCAAGGGACCCGCAAGGGAGCGUGCAAAGGUGCUGCAUGGCUGUCGUCAGCUCGUGCCGUGAGGUGUUGGGUUAAGUCCCGCAACGAGCGCAACCCCCGUCCCUAGUUGCGUUUUCUAGGGAGACUGCUGGGAGAACCCCGGAGGAAGGUGGGGACGACGUCAAGUCCGCAUGGCCCUUACGCCCAGGGCUACACACACGCUACAAUGGCCGGUACAGUGGGAUGCGACCACGCAAGUGGGAGCCAACCCCCCAAAGCCGGCCUCAGUACGAAUCGGAGGCUGCAACCCGCCUCCGUGAAGUCGGAGUUGCUAGUAACCGCGCGUCAGCACAGUGCGGUGAAUGCGUUCCCGGGCCUUGUACACACCGCCCGUCACACCACGAAAGCCGGUAAGACUCGAACGCGCCGGGCUAACCCGCAAGGGAG